Molecule: ribosomal RNA, 253 nt
Filed under: uncultured bacterium
Lineage: Bacteria
Description: partial 16S ribosomal RNA
Rfam family: Bacterial small subunit ribosomal RNA
Source: RNAcentral
UACAGAGGCCCCAAGCGUUAUCCGGAAUCACUGGGCGUAAAGGGUGUGUAGGUGGUUUUGUUAGUCUCUAGUUAAAGCUCUCGGCCCAACCGGGAAAGUGCUAGGGAAACGGCAAGACUAGAGGAUGCGAGGGGUCUGUGGAACUCAUGGAGUAGGGGUGAAAUCCGUUGAUAUCAUGGGGAACACCAAAAGCGAAGGCAGCAGACUGGCGCAUUCCUGACACUGAAACACGAAAGCGUAGGUAGCGAAUGGG